RNAcentral lists this ribosomal RNA (940 nucleotides) under Trachelomonas lefevrei. RNAcentral describes it as "LSU rRNA". It matches the Rfam family "Eukaryotic large subunit ribosomal RNA", at positions 2172 to 2960 of the family's 3401-position model. The record is from RNAcentral. Lineage: Eukaryota; Euglenozoa; Euglenophyceae; Euglenales; Euglenaceae.
AGCUGGCUGGUCCCAUGAGGUGACUUCUGCCCAGUGCUCUGAUUGUCAAUGCGAAGAGAUUCAGCCAAGCGCGGGUAAACGGCGGGAGUAACUAUGACUCUCUUAAGGUAGCCAAAUGCCUCGUCAACCAAUUAUUGACGCGCAUGAAUGGAUCAACGAGAUUCCUGCUGUCCCUAGUUGCCGUCUGGUGAACCAACAGCCAAGGGAACGGGCUUGGAUGUGUCAGCGGGGAAAGAAGACCCUGUUGAGUUUGACUCUAGUUUGAUGCUGUGCAACGACAUGGAGGGUGUAGCACAGGUGGGAGGCGAGUGCCAUUGCCACAAUGGGAACCACAGCAGCAGGUGUGAAGGCUGCAUCAGCAGAGAUAUUGAUUGCCUUGGUGCAAACCAGCAGUGAAAUACCACUACCUUCACCGUCGUUUUACUCAUCGAGUGGUCUGGGAACGGCGGCCAUUCAAUCAGCUCUUCCCCUGCGGAGGGGCUGUGGCCAACACCCGCUUCGUGCACAAAGUGCAGCACUCUGUGCUGCACAACCCUGGAGCUGCAUUCCAAUCAGAAGCCUUGAGACAUCGAUCAGUUGGGGAGUUUGGCUGGGGCGGCACGCCUGUUACAAGACAACGCAGGCGUCCUGAAGCAAUGCUCAGAUGGAACAGAAAUCUCUCAUGGAGGAGCAGGCCAAAGGUGCUGCUGAUGCUGCGACUUCCAGUGCAAGUCCAAAACGUGCAAGUGUGGCCUAGCGAUCCUUUGGUUGAGUGCACGAGUUUGGGAUAUUGAAGCCAGAGGUGUCAGAAAAAUUACCACAGGGAUAACUGGCUUGUGGCUGCCAAGCGUUCAAAGCGACGUCGCUUUUUGAUCCUUCGAUGUCGGCUCUUCCUAGCUUCCCACCCGCAGCCGAGUGGAAGAGUUGGAUUGUUCACCCACCAACAGGGAACGUGAGCUGG